This 3081-nucleotide small RNA is filed under the name Pongo abelii (Sumatran orangutan). RNAcentral describes it as "retained intron". Lineage: Eukaryota; Metazoa; Chordata; Mammalia; Primates; Hominidae. The record is from RNAcentral.
AGUUGCUCCGGCGGCGCUCGGGGAGGGAGCCAGGUGAGCCGCACUGGUGGCAGGGGAAGGGGGCGGGAUGCUCGGCGACCCCACCCUCCGACCCUCUCCUCUUCCGCCGACAUCCACCCGAGCCACCAACAUCAGGAAAGGGGGCGUAGGGCGAGGGAUGGGAGAGGGAACAGGGCAGGAGAGAGGAUGGGAUUAGGAGAAAGACGAUCCCUUUGGGGGAGGGGCGCGUGGAGUAUGAGUGUGUGUGAGUGUGCGUGUGUGCAAGGUGUGGUUGCACGGAUGCUCGUUGCUUCUGCGUAUCUGCGGGUGUGUGCCUGUUUGUACUGUAGCCUGGAGUCAGUGCUCGGUUCUGCGCCUGCAGGAUGCCCAUGUGUCUGCUGGGUGGUUCUGUGCCUUUGGGCUUUGCCGUUCGUGUCCGUGCCUUCGCCACUGGGGGCUGGUCUACAUUUGCGUUUCCGUACAUGGUCCUUUUUGUUUCUGGAGAGUAAAUUCCUGGAGCAAUUGCUAAGCCUGCCUGCUGUCACCUGGCUGACAGGGAGGCCCGCCCCCUUCUCUCAGCAGCCUGGGGCCCAGGCCCGGGCCACCAUGGCGCUGCCUUCGGGCCCAGCCGCCCUCCGGCACACACUGCUGCUCCUGCCAGCCCUUCUGAGCUCAGGUACACCCCUGUUCAGUCGUUGACCAAGUCCUUCUGGGGUCCAAAGUCCCCUCUCUCCCCUGUCUGCACUUCUGUUUGGGUACCCACUCCAGGCCCCAAGCCCUGGAGUCCCUGUUCCCUUCACCCACCUACCCUAGGUCCAACCAGCCAGUCCCUGGUAAGAGGACUCAGGCGCCCUUUCCCUUGGUCUGCUGCUCCUCUCACUGGGCCAAUUCCGGUCACAGCACAGUACCAGCCCUGCCUGAGCCCUUCCCAGAGCCCCCCUGCUGUGUUCCAGGUUGUGGGGAGUUGGAGCCACAAAUAGAUGGUCAGACCUGGGCUGAGCGGGCACUUCGGGAGAAUGAACGCCACGCCUUCACCUGCCGGGUGGCAGGGGGGCCUGGCACCCCCAGAUUGGCCUGGUAUCUGGAUGGACAGCUGCAGGAGGCCAACACCUCAAGACUGCUGAGCGUGGGAGGGGAGGCCUUCUCUGGAGGCACCAGCACCUUCACAGUCACAGCCCAUCGGGCUCAGCAUGAGCUCAACUGCUCCCUGCAGGACCCCAGCAGUGGCCGAUCAGCCAACGCCUCUGUCAUCCUCAAUGUGCAAUUCAAGCCAGAGAUUGCCCAAGUCGGUGCCAAGUACCAGGAAGCUCAGGGCCCAGGCCUCCUGGUUGUCCUGUUUGCCCUGGUGCGUGCCAACCCGCCUGCCAAUGUCACCUGGAUCGACCAGGAUGGGCCAGUGACUGUCAACACCUCUGACUUCCUGGUGCUGGAUGCGCAGAACUACCCCUGGCUCACCAACCAUACGGUGCAGCUGCAGCUCCGCAGCCUGGCACACAAUCUCUCGGUGGUGGCCACCAAUGACGUGGGUGUCACCAGUGCCUCGCUUCCAGCCCCAGGCCCCUCCCGGCGCCCAUCUCUGAUAUCAAGUGACUCCAACAACCUAAAACUCAACAACGUGCGCCUGCCACGGGAGAACAUGUCCCUACCGUCCAACCUUCAGCUCAAUGACCUCACUCCAGAUUCCAGAGUGAAACCAGCAGACCGGCAGAUGGCUCAGAACAACAGCCGGCCAGAGCUUCUGGACCCAGAGCCCGGCGGCCUCCUCACCAGCCGAGGUUUCAUCCGCCUCCCAAUGCUGGGCUAUAUCUAUCGAGUGUCCAGCGUGAGCAGUGAUGAGAUCUGGCUCUGAGCUGAGGGCGAGACAGGAGUAUUCUCUUGGCCUCUGGACACCCUCCCAUUCCUCCAAGGCAUCCUCUGCCUAGCUACAUCACCAACGCGAAGAAGUUAUGCCACUGCCAGUUUUGCUUGCCCUCCUGGCUGGGGUGCCCUCUAUGUCAUGCACAUGAUGCAUUUCACUGGGCUGUAACCCGCAGGGGCACAGGUAUCUUUGGCAAGGCUACCAGUUGGACCUAAGCCCCUCAUGCUGACUCAGGGUGGGCCCUGCAUGCGAUGACUAGGCCCUUCCAGAGGGAGCUCUUUGGCCAGGGGUGUUCAGAUGUCAUCCAGCAUCCAAGUGUGGCAUGGCCUGCUGUAUGCCCCACCCCAGUACUCCACAGCACCUUGUACAGUAGGCAUGGGGGCGUGCCUGUGUGGGGGACAGGGAGGGCCCUGCAUGGAUUUUCCUCCUUCCUAUGCUAUGUAGCCUUGUUCCCUCAGGUAAAAUUUAGGACCCUGCUAGCUGUGUAGAACCAAAUUGCCCUUUGCACAGGAACCAACCCCUGACCCAGGGGUACUGGCCAAGCACAAACUAGUCCUUUUUGCUACACACCUCUCUGCCCUUCACUUCUUCUCUUCUGUCCCCACCUCCUCUUGGGAAUUCUAGGUUACAUGUUGGACCUUCUCUACUACUUCACUGGGCACUAGACUUUUCUAUUGGCCUGUGCCAUCACCCAGUAUUAGCACAAGUCAGGGAGGAAGAGGCAGGCGAUGAGUGUAGUAGCACCCAGGACGGCUUGUAGCUAUGCAUCAUUUUCCUACGGUGUUAGCACUUUAAGCACAUCCCCUAGGGGAGGGGGUGAGUGAGGGGCCCAGAGCCCUCUUUGUGGCCUCCCCAAGUUUGGCCUUCUGUGAUUCACUGUGAGUGUCCUGAGCUCUCGGGGUUGAUGGUUUUCCUCUCAGCAUGUCUCCUCCACCACGGGACCCCAGCCCUGACCAACCCAUGGUUGCUUCAUGAGCAGGAAGGUGCCCUUCCCGGAGGAUGGUCACCACAGGCACAUAAUUCAACAGUGUGGAAGCUUUAGGGGGACAUGGAGAAAGGAGGAGACCACAUACCCCAAAACAACCUAAGAACGCUUUAAAAAGCAACAUGUAAAUGAUUGGAAAUUAAUAUAGUACAGAAUAUAUUUUUCCCUUGUUGAGAUCUUUUGUAAUGUUUUUCAUGUUACUGCCUAGGACAGUGCUGAGCACACAGUAAGUUUAAUAAACUUGACUGAGUUAAUUUAC